This 497-nucleotide ribosomal RNA is filed under the name uncultured bacterium. Its description in RNAcentral is "partial 16S ribosomal RNA". It matches the Rfam family "Bacterial small subunit ribosomal RNA", at positions 28 to 507 of the family's 1533-position model. The record is from RNAcentral.
GAUGAACGCUGGCGGCGUGCCUAAUACAUGCAAGUCGAGCGAACGGACGAGAAGCUUGCUUCUCUGAUGUUAGCGGCGGACGGGUGAGUAACACGUGGAUAGCCUACCUAUAAGACUGGGAUAACUUCGGGAAACCGGAGCUAAUACCGGAUAAUAUUUUGAACCGCAUGGUUCAAAAGUGAAAGACGGUCUUGCUGUCACUUAUAGAUGGAUCCGCGCUGCAUUAGCUAGUUGGUAAGGUAACGGCUUACCAAGGCAACGAUGCAUAGCCGACCUGAGAGGGUGAUCGGCCACCCUGGAACUGAGACACGGUCCAGACUCCUACGGGAGGCAGCAGUAGGGAAUCUUCCGCAAUGGGCGAAAGCCUGACGGAGCAACGCCGCGUGAGUGAUGAAGGUCUUCGGAUCGUAAAACUCUGUUAUUAGGGAAGAACAUAUGUGUAAGUAACUGUGCACAUCUUGACGGUACCUAAUCAGAAAGCCACGGCUAACUACGUG